CUGCCCUCAGAAGAGGAGAUGGAGCGGCGACGAUGGGUGACCUCUCCUGCUCCUCUCCCCGGCUCAGUCCUCUCCCGCUCCUCCUCCCUGCUCACCCUACCACUCUCCCCAGGACCUGGAGAAACCAGCUGCCAUCUCAUACAGGAUGAAGGGGGGAGGCCAACCGGGUGGCCGUGAUCAGAGAGGGCAGCGGCACAGCAGCACCUUGCCCCCAAAGAUGCCCCGGGAGGCAGUUCCAUGUCUGGAUCCUUCCACUCUGGCUUUGCAGCAGGCCUUCAUCAACAAGCAAGCCAUGCUCCUGGCUCGCCAGAUGACCAUGCAGGCUAUGGCCAUCCAGAAGCAGCAGCUGAUGGACACAGUCUCCCCAAGCCCCUCCGAGGCCUCCAGCGCCGGCCACUUCCCACAGGGCCCAAGAGCCUCUAGCCCUUUCUCCAGAGCCAAGCCUGCCCUGCCACCACAGGU
Molecule: long non-coding RNA, 462 nt
Filed under: Ornithorhynchus anatinus (platypus)
Lineage: Eukaryota; Metazoa; Chordata; Mammalia; Monotremata; Ornithorhynchidae
Description: lncRNA (ENSOANG00000043445.1)
Source: RNAcentral